This is a long non-coding RNA of Paramisgurnus dabryanus, 940 nucleotides long. RefSeq lists it as uncharacterized. NCBI's taxonomy places the organism in Eukaryota, Metazoa, Chordata, Actinopteri, Cypriniformes, Cobitidae. The record is from RefSeq and is a predicted model, not a curated record.
GUUUGCCUGUCAGCGCAGCAAGAAGUCGAACACACGUAUUUGCGUGCGCGCGCCUCGGUCGGUCCUUGUGAGUUCAAAGUGGAUUUUAACCGUUUACCUCAGACGACAGUUUUCAUUUCUAUGGUAAAUUCUAAGGUCAUUUUCUUGUUGUGUUGUGAUGUGUUCCAUUGGCUGAAGAGCAGAUUACCAUGCAAUUUGAUGAAGUGUGAUAAAAUACACAGAGGUGAAGUCACGUGUCUUUCCAGAUGCCCAAAUCUGUACCACUCAAAAGAUGAGCCUGAAGAGGAGAUUUGGGAAGAUGCUGUUUCAUAAGUCUUUGCUUUGCCAGAUCACCUGUGGUCGGGAUGUCUGCUAACAUGAUGCCUUGUUGGUCUGGGCGAGUUUGAAGUCUCUCACAGACAGUCCAGAAGGUCUGGAGUCCAUGUUAGCUUUUAUUGAUUAACUACAUACGGUCCCUUGGGGGAGCCAACCCAGGUGAAGUCCACUGAAGUCCCGUUUGCAUACAGCAUGAAAUGGAGGAAGGCAAUAUCCAAUUAAAAGAGACAGAAUAAGAUUGGACCAGAAUAUCACACUCUAAAUUCUGCUGGGUUAUUUUUAACCCAAUGCUGGAAUCAACACAGAAAAACUACAAGGCAUUAAAGGCCCUUGACGUGGAAGACUUAAUUGCAUUAGCCCUGAAAUUUGCCCCACACAGAAAUUUAAAAUGAUGGCAGAGAUUGCUGUGGAGUUCUGAAGUUCAUUUUUUAAAUGUUUUCAUUUUUAAUAUAUUAAAAUGUUUUUUAUGAUACAAUGUUCUACAUGUUUAUUGCCAAUUUUAUGUGUUAUAUAAGCAAAUUAUCUACCCUAUUAUAUUAUUAUCUAAGUCUAUAAAUUCUAUAAAUGAUCCUGUGAUUAAUGAUUUUGAUUUUAUGUCUACGAAUAAAGAAUCCAUGGAUCAACA